RNAcentral lists this transfer RNA (74 nucleotides) under Cyanobacteria bacterium UBA11049. RNAcentral describes it as "tRNA-Trp". Lineage: Bacteria; Bacillati; Cyanobacteriota. The record is from RNAcentral.
GCAGGGAUGGUGUAGCUGGCUAACAUCUCGGUCUCCAAAACCGAUGUUCGCUGGGUAAAAUCCUAGUCCCUGCG